RNAcentral lists this ribosomal RNA (497 nucleotides) under uncultured bacterium. RNAcentral's name for it is "partial 16S ribosomal RNA". It matches the Rfam family "Bacterial small subunit ribosomal RNA", at positions 28 to 507 of the family's 1533-position model. The record is from RNAcentral.
GAUGAACGCUGGCGGCGUGCCUAAUACAUGCAAGUCGAGCGAACAGACGAGGAGCUUGCUCCUCUGACGUUAGCGGCGGACGGGUGAGUAACACGUGGAUAACCUACCUAUAAGACUGGGAUAACUUCGGGAAACCGGAGCUAAUACCGGAUAAUAUAUUGAACCGCAUGGUUUAAUAGUGAAAGACGGUUUUGCUGUCACUUAUAGAUGGAUCCGCGCCGCAUUAGCUAGUUGGUAAGGUAACGGCUUGCCAAGGCAACGAUGCGUAGCCGACCGGGGUGGGUGAUAGGCGACACUGGAACUGGGCCGCGGUCCAGACGCCUACGGGAGGCAGCAGUAGGGAAUCUUACGCAAUGGGCGAGAGCCUGACGGAGUAACGCCGCGUGAGUGAUGAAGGUCCUCGGAUCGUAAAACUCUGUUAUUAGGGAAGAACAAAUGUGUAAGUAACUGUGCACGGCUUGACGGUACCGAAUCAGAAAGCCACGGCUAACUACGUG